RNAcentral lists this ribosomal RNA (500 nucleotides) under uncultured Allobaculum sp. Its description in RNAcentral is "partial 16S ribosomal RNA". The record is from RNAcentral. Lineage: Bacteria; Bacillati; Bacillota; Erysipelotrichia; Erysipelotrichales; Erysipelotrichaceae.
CACGUAGUUAGCCGUGACUUCCUCGCCGGGUACCAUCACUCAGAAAGCUUUCCGCUCUUUCUGCCUUUUGUCCCCGGCAACAGAGCUUUACGAUCCGAAGACCUUCCUCGCUCACGCGGCAUUGCUCGUUCAGGGUUCCCCCCAUUGACGAAAAUUCCCUACUGCUGCCUCCCGCAGGAGUCUGGGCCGUGUCUCAGUCCCAGUGUGGCCGUCCGCCCUCUCAGGCCGGCUAUGCAUCGUCGCCUUGGUGAGCCGUUACCUCUCCAACCAGCUAAUGCACCGCAGGUCCAUCUGCAUGCGGGACUCUUGUCCCCUUUCCAAAAAGAGAUGCCUCCUCUUUGCUCAUCCGGUAUCAGCUUCCGUUUCCAGUAAGUUCUCCCGCUCAUGCAGGCAGGUUCCCUACGUGUUACCUCACCCGUUCGCCACUCAUACUCCGAAGACUAUCCGUUCGACUUUGACUAUGUAUUACGGCUAGUGCCGCCAGCGUUCAUCCUGACGCC